Non-coding RNA from Danio rerio (zebrafish), 58 nucleotides. The record is from Rfam. NCBI's taxonomy places the organism in Eukaryota, Metazoa, Chordata, Actinopteri, Cypriniformes, Danionidae.
UAGCUCAGUCGAUUGAGCAUGAGACUCUUAAUCUCAGCGUCGUGGGUUAGAGCCCUAC